GCAAGUCGAACGAUAAUGUUACUUCGGUAACAGGAAAGUGGCGCGCGGGUGAGUAACGCGUAGAGAUCUACCAAGCAGUGGGGAACAACUAUUGGAAACGAUAGCUAAAACCGCAUACGCCCUGAGGGGGAAAUAUUUAUAGCUGUUUGAUGAGUCUGCGUUAGAUUAGCUAGUUGGUGAGGUAAUGGCUCACCUAGGCAACGAUCUAUAGCUGGUUUUGAGGAUGACC
RNAcentral lists this ribosomal RNA (229 nucleotides) under uncultured bacterium. RNAcentral's name for it is "partial 16S ribosomal RNA". It matches the Rfam family "Bacterial small subunit ribosomal RNA", at positions 57 to 305 of the family's 1533-position model. The record is from RNAcentral.